UUUCACUGCCCUAAAAAUCCUCUGUGUUUCACCUAUUCAUCCCUCCCUCCCCUCAAACCCCUGGCAACCACUGAUCAUUUUACUAUCUUCACAGUUUUGCAUUUCCCAGAAUGUUAUAUAGCUGGAAUCAUAUAUAUGUCGCUGUAUUAGUCAGGGUUCCCCAGAGAAAUAGAACUAAUAGGAUAUAUAGAUAUAUUAAGAGAAUUAUUAUGAGGGAUUGGUUCACUGAUUACAGAAUCUGAGAAAUCCCAUGAUCUGCCAUCUGCAAGCUGGAGCACAGGAAGGCCAGUGGCAUAGUUCCAAUGCAAAAUUUGAAAGCCUGAGAACCAGGGAAGCCAAUGGUUUAAGUCAUAGUCCAGUUCAAAAGCCCAAGAACCAGGAGCGACCAUGUGUGAGGGCAAGAGAAGAUGGAUGUCCCAGCUCAAGUAGAGACCAAAUUUGCCCUUCCUUCACCUUUUUUUUCUAUUCAGGACCUCAGUGGAUUGGAUAAUGCCCACCCACAUUGGUGAAGGUGAUCUUCUUUACUCAGUCUGCCAAUUCAAAUGCUAAAUCUCAUCUAGCAACACCCUCACAGACACACUCAGCUAUCUGGGCAUACCUUACUCCAAGGACAAGUCUCAACUAUCUCUGAUGUGCAGGCCACAAGAAGGACCCUGUGCCUGAAGAGUGAAUGGGAGGACAAGAGCCCCCAGAGACUCAUCAGAUAUGAGUGCUGUUCUUCUUAAUGUGAAUGAGCCAUUACCACAAAACUUCCAUUCCUACUGAUCCAGAAUUUUAACUGAUUUUCUUUUGUGCUUCAAUUGCUUUUUACAUUUCCAGUGCAUUAACCAUGGAAAAUGACAUUGUUCCUAUGGGAAUAUGUAUUCUGAUUUUCAGUAAUUGAUUAAAAUUGAUUAAACUUUUUAGAACCCA
Molecule: long non-coding RNA, 912 nt
Organism: Aethalodelphis obliquidens (Pacific white-sided dolphin)
Lineage: Eukaryota; Metazoa; Chordata; Mammalia; Artiodactyla; Delphinidae
Exons: 2
Source: RefSeq, a predicted model, not a curated record